CUACGGGGGGCACCAGUGGGGAAUAUUGCACAAUGGAGGAAACUCUGAUGCAGCAACGCCGCGUGGAGGAUGACACUUUUCGGAGCGUAAACUCCUUUUAUAUAGGAAGAAGAUGACGGUACUAUAUGAAUAAGCGCCGGCUAACUCCGUGCCAGCAGCCGCGGUAAUACGGAGGGCGCAAGCGUUACUCGGAAUCACUGGGCGUAAAGAGCGUGUAGGCGGAUUAAAAAGUCAGAAGUGAAAUCCUAUAGCUUAACUAUAGAACUGCUUCUGAAACUCUUAAUCUAGAAUAUGGGAAAGGUAGAUGGAAUUUCUGGUGUAAGGGUAAAAUCCGUAGAGAUCAGAAGGAAUACCGAUUGCGAAGGCGAUCUACUAGAACAUUAUUGACGCUGAGACGCGAAAGCGUGGGGAGCAAACAGGAUUAGAUACCCCUGUAGUC
This 439-nucleotide ribosomal RNA is filed under the name uncultured bacterium. RNAcentral's name for it is "partial 16S ribosomal RNA". It matches the Rfam family "Bacterial small subunit ribosomal RNA", at positions 339 to 795 of the family's 1533-position model. The record is from RNAcentral.